RNAcentral lists this ribosomal RNA (306 nucleotides) under uncultured bacterium. RNAcentral describes it as "partial 16S ribosomal RNA". It matches the Rfam family "Bacterial small subunit ribosomal RNA", at positions 505 to 807 of the family's 1533-position model. The record is from RNAcentral.
GACAGCAGCAGCCGCGGGAAUACAGAGGGUGCGAGCGUUAAUCGGAUUUACUGGGCGUAAAGCGUGCGUAGGCAGCUUUUUAAGUCGGAUGUGAAAUCCCCGAGCUUAACUUGGGAAUUGCAUUCGAUACUGGGAAGCUAGAGUAUGGGAGAGGAUGGUAGAAUUCCAGGUGUAGCGGUGAAAUGCGUAGAGAUCGGAAAGGACACCAACGGCGAAAGCACUCUGCUGGGCCGACACUGACACUGAGAGACGAAAGCUAGGGGAGCAAAUGGGAUUAGAUACCCGAGUAGUCCCUGUCUCUUAUAC